RNAcentral lists this ribosomal RNA (253 nucleotides) under uncultured bacterium. RNAcentral describes it as "partial 16S ribosomal RNA". It matches the Rfam family "Bacterial small subunit ribosomal RNA", at positions 524 to 776 of the family's 1533-position model. The record is from RNAcentral.
UACGUAGGGUGCGAGCGUUGUCCGGAAUUAUUGGGCGUAAAGGGCUCGUAGGCGGUUUGUCGCGUCGGGAGUGAAAUCCACUGGCUUAACUGGUGGCUUGCUUUCGAUACGGGCAGACUGGAGGUAUGCAGGGGAGAACGGAAUUCCUGGUGUAGCGGUGAAAUGCGCAGAUAUCAGGAAGAACACCCGUGGCUAAGGCGGCUCUCUAGUACGGUACUGACGCUGAGACGCGAAAGCGUGGGGAGCGAACAGG